Molecule: transfer RNA, 75 nt
Filed under: Mycobacterium phage prophiGD54-2
Lineage: Duplodnaviria; Heunggongvirae; Uroviricota; Caudoviricetes; Vilmaviridae
Description: tRNA-Ile
Rfam family: tRNA
About the family: Transfer RNA (tRNA) molecules are approximately 80 nucleotides in length. Their secondary structure includes four short double-helical elements and three loops (D, anti-codon, and T loops). Further hydrogen bonds mediate the characteristic L-shaped molecular structure. tRNAs have two regions of fundamental functional importance: the anti-codon, which is responsible for specific mRNA codon recognition, and the 3' end, to which the tRNAs corresponding amino acid is attached (by aminoacyl-tRNA synthetases). tRNAs cope with the degeneracy of the genetic code in two manners: having more than one tRNA (with a specific anti-codon) for a particular amino acid; and 'wobble' base-pairing, i.e. permitting non-standard base-pairing at the 3rd anti-codon position.
Source: RNAcentral
UGGUUCGUCAUCCAAUGGUGAGGAUACCGAUCUGAUACGUCGGCAAUCACAGUUCAAUUCUGUGCGAACCUACCA